This 69-nucleotide transfer RNA is filed under the name Ictidomys tridecemlineatus (thirteen-lined ground squirrel). Its description in RNAcentral is "Spermophilus tridecemlineatus (thirteen-lined ground squirrel) tRNA". It matches the Rfam family "tRNA". From Rfam's summary of the family: Transfer RNA (tRNA) molecules are approximately 80 nucleotides in length. Their secondary structure includes four short double-helical elements and three loops (D, anti-codon, and T loops). RNAcentral also lists the same sequence under 1 other name. Lineage: Eukaryota; Metazoa; Chordata; Mammalia; Rodentia; Sciuridae. The record is from Rfam by way of RNAcentral.
GGGACUGUGGCUCAGUGGUAGAGCACUUGCCUAGCAUACAUGAGGCACUGGGUUCAAUCCUCAGCACCA